This 1242-nucleotide ribosomal RNA is filed under the name metagenome. RNAcentral's name for it is "bacterial LSU rRNA". It matches the Rfam family "Bacterial large subunit ribosomal RNA", at positions 1564 to 2816 of the family's 2925-position model. The record is from RNAcentral.
UGAAUACGAGACGCUAAGGCGUCGAAGUAGUGUAUGUCAUACUUCCAAGAAAAGCUUGCACUGUCAUAGAUAAAAAACGCCCGUACCAUAACCGACACAGGUGGGUAGGUAGAGUAUACUAAGGGGCGCGAGAUAACUCUCUCUAAGGAACUCGGCAAAAUAACUCCGUAACUUCGGGAGAAGGAGUGCCUUAUUCUUAAGGUUGCAAUAACAAGAUCCAAGCAACUGUUUAUCAAAAACACAGGUCUCCGCUAAGUCGUAAGACGAUGUAUGGGGGCUGACGCCUGCCCAGUGCCAGAAGGUUAAAGAAGCUGGUUAGCAUUUGCGAAGCUAGUAACUGAAGCCCUGGUGAACGGCGGCCGUAACUAUAACGGUCCUAAGGUAGCGAAAUUCCUUGUCGGGUAAGUUCCGACCCGCACGAAAGGCGUAAUGAUUUGGAUACUGUCUCGGAGAGGGGCUCGGUGAAAUAGACUUGUCUGUGAAGAUGCGGACUACCUGCACCAGGACAGAAAGACCCUAUGAAGCUUUACUGUAACUUGAAAUUGAAAUUGGACUUUAUUCGCGCAGUAUAGGUGGGAGGCGUUGAUUAUAAUCUUGCGGGAUUAUUGGAGCCAUUAGUGAGAUACCACUCUUGUAAUGUUAGAUUUCUAACUUUGAAUCAUUAUCUGGUCAAAGAACAGUUUCAGGCGGGCAGUUUGACUGGGGCGGUCGCCUCCUAAACGGUAACGGAGGCGUACAAAGGUUUCCUCUGAACGGUUAGAAAUCGUAUCUAGAGUGUAAAGGCAUAAGGAAGCUUGACUGUGAGACCUACAAGUCGAGCAGGGACGAAAGUCGGUCUUAGUGAUCUGACGGUACUGAGUGGAAAGGCCGUCACUCAACGGAUAAAAGUUACUCUAGGAUAACAGGCUGAUCUCCCCCAAGAGUUCACAUCGACGGGGAGGUUUGGCACCUUGAUGUCGGCUCAUCGCAUCCUGGGGCGGUAGUACGUCCCAAGGGUUGGGCUGUUCGCCCAUGAAAGCGGUACGCGAGCUGGGUUCAGAACGUCGUGAGACAGUUCGGUCCAUAUCCGGUGUAGGCGUUAGAAUAUUGAGAGGAGCCUUCUUUAGUACGAGAGGACCGAGAAGGACAUACCUCUGGUGUACCAGUUAUCGUGCCAACGGUAAACGCUGGGUAGCUAUGUAUGGAGUGGAUAACCGCUGAAAGCAUCUAAGUGGGAAGCCCACCUCAAGAUAAGUAUUCUCA